Molecule: non-coding RNA, 7942 nt
Organism: Nothobranchius furzeri (turquoise killifish)
Lineage: Eukaryota; Metazoa; Chordata; Actinopteri; Cyprinodontiformes; Nothobranchiidae
Source: RefSeq, a predicted model, not a curated record
UUUAAGAAACAGAAAGUCAUGCUUUCCUAAAUUUGGAUAUCCAUCCAUCCAUUUUCAUCCACUUAUUCAUUUGGAUAUAGCCCCAAAAAAUAAACCUGCUCUUGUUAACUUAAAAUCAUUUUCUUUAAAAAAUACUUAGUAUUAGGCAUGUAAUGGUACAUAUUUACUAUUUCAUACUGACAGGAGGACUGCUGCAGGUAACCCACUGACUCAAUCACUAAAUAAACCAUCACACCAUCUGUUGCUCAACACUAUAGCCAAAAUAUCUCGUUCACUGGUGCUACCAUGUUAUUUUUGGAUUAAGUCUGCAUAGUAGAGAUAGGGGAUGAUACGUCUCACACACACAAACAUGAACACAUAAACAUGGUGUUUCUAGCAUCACAUAACUAAUCAGGGCUAAAUGUGUUUUUGAAAGAGAAAUUCUUUUUUCUUGCAGCAGCAAGGUAAGAACUAUAACUGCAAUGGCAAAUCUGCUAAACAAAUCAGCUUAAAAGGUGUUUUACAUUUCUUAACAUUCUAACAGAGCAUAGGGAGCCUAAGUCACGCCCAUCUUCUUCCAGUCCCAGAAAGACCGAAAACAAUCAAUGUUUACGUUUAUGUAUUUAGCAGACACUUUUGUCCAAAGCGACUUACAAGUGAUAAUCGCCAUGUUGCCCUUGAGGCUAACAACAACAAUAACAACAACAAAAACUAAUUUCCAGUCAGUCGUAGGUGGCAGUGAGGCAGCACGAUGAAUCAUGGAGAGGAGGGAGUUGACGGUAGAGAGGGGGGACGGGUGCAGGGAAGGUGCUAGUUUAGAAGAUGCUCUCUGAAGAGCAGGGUCUUCAGGAGUUUCUUGAAAAUUGAAAAGGAAGCUCCUGUUCUGUAGUGCUUGGAAGGUCAUUCCACAUUUGUGGAACAAUGCAUGAGAAGAGUCUGGAUUGUCCUGAGCGUGGUGUAGGCACUGCUAGCCGACGAUUCUGUGAUGACCGGAGCGGCCGGGCCGAGACGUAAGCCUUUGCAAGAGGAUUCAGGUAGAUGGGAGCCGUACCAUCUCAGACUUUGUAGUGUUAGCAAUUUGAAUUUGAUGCGUGCUGCUAGCAAUAGCCAGUGGAGCUCAAUGAACAGAGGGGUGACAUGUGCUCUUUUUGGCUGAUUGAAGACUAGGCGCGCUGCUGCGUUCUGGACCAUUUGAAGAGGUCUCACAGUACAGCCUGGAAGACUAGUUAGAAGGACAUUGCAGUAAUUGAGGCGGGAGAUGACAGUAGAUUGCACCAGGAGCUGGGAGGCAUGUUGUGUUAGGUAUGGUGUGAUAUUUCGUAUGUUAUACAGCGCAAAGCGGCAUGAACAAGCAACAGAGGCACCAUGAUCUUUAAAGGUCAGGUGUUCAUCAAUCACAACACCCAGAUUUUGAACAGCCUUUGAAGGAGCCAGAGAUAGGAAGUCAUUUUGGAUUGAGAUAUUGUGCUGUAUGGAUGGUUUUGCUGGGAUGACAGGUACUGUAGUUCAGUUUUAAAAAGGUUGAGUUGUAGAAGGUGGGAUUUCAUCCAUUUUGAUAUGUCAGAGAAGCAGUUUGAUAUUCGUGCAGAGACAGUGUGGUCAUCCGGUGGAAAUGACAGAUAGACCUGGGUGUCGUCUGCAUAGCAGUGGUAGGAGAAGCCAUGUGAUCAAAUGAUCUCACCCAGUGAGGUGGUGUAUAUUGCAAAGAGAAGAGGUCCUAGUACAGAGCCCUGGGGGGCUCCUGUAGAGGUCAGUAGGGCUAAAAACACUACUUUGUAAUUCCGCUUGUUAAAUGCCAUGGAUGUCUCAUAUGAUAUCCGAGAAAGUGCUUAUUUUCAAACAGGGGGAAAUGUUAUUUGUGUGAAAAUAAGUCCAGGACUAGAAAUGCGCUUCACGAAGGUGACGUCAUCGAACCAGACACGGAGAAAAACAGAGGGAAAAUGGCUGUAAGUUCAACAAAUUUCAAAUCCGUUCAGGAGGAAUAAACCACCAUAAAUCUGGCCAUGUGGUAAGUAGCAGCUAUUCUAGGGCAGAGGAGGUUCUGUGGUGAAACGACAACAACUAAUAUUGGAUUGCAUGCGUGGCAAUGUCUGAUUUGUAGUCAUGCUAAUUACCAACUUUUACAAGCUGAAAAAUGUGAAAGUAUGUGACUGGCGUGGUCGAAACACAUGUAACGUGAGGAAAUAUGGGUUUUUCUGCCACAAAGGUGGUGUUGGACUAAGCUGUGUCAAAGCUGGGUCGCUGAGAACUUUCACCCACAGAUUAAGACCUGAACGCCAGCGAGUCUGGGAGGAAACCAUAACAUCUGCCACCUGCAGCUUCGUGCCAGAAGAUGUUGUUCCCACAGAAGAUGUUGUUCCCAUAAAAGUAGUCAUAACAUAACAAGUCUUAAAACUUUGUUUCUUGAUUUUAAUGUUAAAGUAACCAUUAUCAAUUUGCUCAUUAUAAAUGUGUUUUAAUCAAAUGAACGAUUCUUAUGCUUUGGGUAAUUAUAAUGGAUUAAUGAAGCCAUUCUUAAAUAAUGUUGAGGAUGUUUGUUGCUGACCUUCACACAUACUCAAGCACACAAACAUUCACACACACCCACACACAUCUGCUCACAGUAAACUCCAAAACACAUUUGCUGACGCACACGUUUGCUUUGAGAGGAGAAAGGUUUUUGGUAAGUUUCAGUCUUAUGAUUUCAGUUCGUGCUUGACAACGAAAGAGAGAGGACGUGUGAACAACCGCUAACGGGGGCACGGAGCCCAUUGGCUCAAUCCCCCCCGCUCUCUCACGCUGUUUCUGCCAAGCCAGGCAGAAUAGCUGAAUCGCGACUUCUAACGCAGACUCAUUACCGAGUCUUUUGAUUUCUGAGUGAAUUAACUUAAGAAAGCGCAUCGACAAAACGCUCCACCAUCCACGUGUACCGAGGGCAACUCUGGACAGGUUCCGUUCAACACCUACGUCUCCUGUCAGCCGCCGGUGUUAUCUGGAUGAACCACAACAUCCUCCACGGCCCGGAUCCGAAAGAGGGUCCACAAGAGUUCGGUGAGACAGAGCACGGUUUUUAGCGUUUGAUGCAGUUCUCUGAUAAGACCUAAGUUUAUCCAAACCAUCACUUCACUCAGACACCUGUUUCUUCCUGAAGCAAAAUCAGACUCACACACGCAUUCAUGUCACGACAUUCUCAAUCUUCAUAAAUUCACCAGAAGGUCUAUUUGAGCAAGAACAGCAUAUCAACUGUUAAAGAUUGUCCCACAAAGUUGCCAAUGUUGAUUGUUAUUUCCUGUUUGUCAAUUUUCAAAAUCAUUAGUUUAAUUUGAAGAAUUAAAACUUUUAAUUGUCAAACUGGUUUCCUCAUUGAACUGAAACACAGACACACAGAUAUUAUUGUCAGUUUAUCGAUGAAAACAACCUUUGAGUCUUCUUAACAAUAUAAAAUUUGGUUAUUGAUUUAUUAAAAAUUAAUAUUCCGAAUUAAUACGUAGCAUGGUUCCUCUUUCAUAAAAGAGCAUAAAACCACAACGCUACAUUAAUGGUGAGCCAAGCCAGUUUCUUCUACAUUAAUGGCGAGCGUAUCCAGACUUCUAUAUCUGCGAUAUAUCUGAUUCCAUCAUCAUCUACAAGCUGAUUUUUCGCAAUUUUAGCCUUUUCUCUGUGUUUCACUUUGAUGUCUUAUUUUGAAAAAAAAAAACGGAAAUUAUUCCGCUGAAGUCACUCUUCCGGGAGACGUCCUGGUGGAAACUUGACGGGGGAAGAUCUCCGAUCUCAAAUUGUCCGCAAAUUACAGACAGUACUUUGAUUUAUCCCAUCUUCGCCUUCGGAGCGAACGUGUGAGUUGUGCUUUUGACUAAAUUCUGCCCAUUUUGACGCGCCGCCACGCCUCUAAUCUAUUCAGGUCGGAAAGCUACAUUUCCACUCUGAAACUUGCUAGGUGAGCUACCGUGAGCACCUUAACUUCAAUCCUAAAAUUAAGACUAAAUUCUCCGAAUUCUCGGACACCCUCUCGUCUCAGUGUGUUGACACUGUGGGCGAGCUAUUGUGGAAGAUAUUUCCAUUACAUAGGCGACAGCCGAAUCUAAACGGAAUGCUCGUAGGCACCUACCGUAGCUUAAAUUGCUCGGUAAACGCUGUAAGUCGGGUCAUGGCCGUAGCGCGUUACUGCAUCCAGAUUGCGUACGCUUUAAAGUCCGUUAGCAGAGCGGAGCGAGAUGCCUGCUUGUUAAUCGGGAAAAUUUAAGUCUGGUCGCUACAGACGGAAAGCUAGACCUAGCCGGAGAGCUAAGCUAGCGAGCCACAGUUGGACAAAACAGGAACGCGUCCUAUUAAGUUGUCAAACCAUUUCUGACACAGUAAGUCUGUGUCCUCACAAAACCCGCAUUGGCGGUGAUUCUUGUAAACACUACGGUGUGUAGAAUCUACAUUUUGCUACGUUUGUCCGUCUGAUACCAACACGGCAGCGUAGGGUUUAUUAUUUUUUUUAUUUUUGUUUUGGACCGCUGUACGGGGCGGCUUUCGCAGCCUCCAUCGCUCGGAUCCAUGACUUUUUCUUCCAUCUUGUGAAGUAGUGUGCAUUCAUUUCUCUAUCAACAAUUCCUUGUUUUACCCUGUGUCAUAAAGUUAAGUUACGCUACGGACAGUCCUUGUUUGUGAGAUAAAUUGAGGAAUUUGCCCGGAGUUUUACGUCGACUCAGAAGGUAAAAACGCGAGUUGCUCUGAACUUAAAGAGGGAUGGACGAGACACGACAAAAUCUUUCUUGUACUGUUACACCUGGUGUAAGGUUCUCUGUCGUUCUGCUUCCAGAACAUGCCAAGACGCAGGAGUCUGUUUACCGGCCGAGCCACGCUGGUCCCUCCGCCCGCCCGAACGGGCCCGCAUUAGGCGGGUGCCGCCGGUCGGGCACGGUGGGGACUAGUGGCAGCGGUUCGGUGCCAGCUGCUCGGGGUCGGAGGGGGUCAAAAACCCACCAUCAAUAUCAAGGCUGACCAUCUCUCCAGCAUGGGUGUGAAAUCUUCAGGCUGUGAUCCACCGCUUCAGUCAGAGGUCUGCUUUACUCGUCAGUCCGCCUCAUGCACAAACCGGCUUGUUUAUCGGGGCGUGAUGGAAACGUCAGCCGCCGUGAAACACUUGUGGUCUCCGGACGGAGCAACCUUCCCAUUUGCAGGAACCUCAAAGUCCAACACCUCCAGGUCUUUGGACAUCUGAACACCUACUCUUUCAGCACGAUCCAGACACGGCAUAAGUUUGAGAAACAAAAGGGGGGUGGGGAGCCUCCUCCUGCUUUGCGAGCAUCAUUUUCGCAUUUCCAGUUCACUACUAUUUCUGAUCACAACAAAGUCGCCUCCGUAAAGCUGCAACCCAACUUUGAGCAGGUAAAAUCAGGUUCUGAUCUAACAGUUAUACCAUCAGCUUCACUCGAGUUCCGGACGGAACCCUCAGGUAAAUUCAAACAAGUUUCCCUGUGGGUUCGUAACACCAGAUACAAACGGUUUGAUAACCAAAUCACUUAUGAGCCUGCUCCCACAGAUACGUCCAAACUCGUGUCUCUGUGGGUCCGCAAUACCAGAUUCAAAACUCUAUUCUGACCGACUCUAUUCUGACCGGAUUCUUUUCCACUAACUGGUGGACCGUUACAAAUUCUCUCGUUUGUGGGGUGAAUUUUUAACAAAUGUGAUAUCCUUUGAAUUUUUUUUCAGGUAACCUGCCUCCAGCCAGGACACCUGCUACUAACUCACAUUUUUAGGGAUUACUAACCUGCUGAUUUACAUUUUUAGAAUUGAUUUACAUCUCUAUCUUUUUAUUAGUGCUUUGUGUAGCAUGAUUAUAUUUGAUUACAAAUUUAAUUUUAUUUUGUUACUAUUUCCCUUAAAGGGCCACAAGCCAAUUCGCCCUUCAUUUUCAUGAUUAUUUCUUUUAUAUAUAUGCCUUUACUUAAUGCAGCCUGCUGAGUUUCACAUAUCAGUUAGGAUUUACUUUCUUUUAUUUGUGUUUUCUCUGCAUCACAUUUUUACAUGACAUGUAGAGCAGGGUGCAGAACAUUUCUUCUUUAGAUAAUUCACAAAAGGCAUCCACAUUUUCCCAGAGGUACCCAUAGAUAGGUUUUGAUUGAUUUCUUUGAUUUGCAUCAAAUGCUAUCUAUCGUGUGGGCUGUCUCACUUUGUCUCCUUCUCCGAGCUCGUAUGGACUACAUCCCAUCAGAGGGGUCGUCUUCACCAUCCUUCAACUGGUUUCCUGUCGCUUGGGGCUUCGGUCGUGGUUCGAGAUGGGUCGAGGUCUGCGCUGGACUACGCCUGAGGAAUGCAUCACCUGCCCAGCUCCGUGUGACACACGAGCUGCUUAUCCUUUGAAUACCUUUGCAUUAUUGCUGAUGAAAUUAACUGCUAUUGAAAUAGCUCUGCUUUCAAGUUUUCCUAAGUGGAUUACUUUACAAUGAUUGCAACAGUUUUGGCCUUAAUCAUCUGAUCAGGAUAUACUCCCUUCUACACGAGACCUGUGGAGAUGCUUCAUCGUUCCUGCCUUCAUCUGGGAUGUCUACCUUCACGAGUACAUCACGUUAUUGAGGUUGUGACGUCAGGUGGCCUCUGCUUGACCACCAUGUCGUCACAAAAAGGGGGGAAUGUAACGUGAGGAAAUAUGGGUUUUUCUGCCACAAAGGUGGUGUUGGACUAAGCUGUGUCAAAGCUGGGUCGCUGAGAACUUUCACCCACAGAUUAAGACCUGAACGCCAGCGAGUCUGGGAGGAAACCAUAACAUCUGCCACCUGCAGCUUCGUGCCAGAAGAUGUUGUUCCCACAGAAGAUGUUGUUCCCAUAAAAGUAGUCAUAACAUAACAAGUCUUAAAACUUUGUUUCUUGAUUUUAAUGUUAAAGUAACCAUUAUCAAUUUGCUCAUUAUAAAUGUGUUUUAAUCAAAUGAACGAUUCUUAUGCUUUGGGUAAUUAUAAUGGAUUAAUGAAGCCAUUCUUAAAUAAUGUUGAGGAUGUUUGUUGCUGACCUUCACACACACUCAAGCACACAAACAUUCACACACACCCACACACAUCUGCUCACAGUAAACUCCAAAACACAUUUGCUGACGCACACGUUUGCUUUUAGAGGAGAAAGGUUUUUGGUAAGUUUCAGUCUUAUGAUUUCAGUUCGUGCUUGACAACGAAAGAGAGAGGACGUGUGAACAACCGCUAACGGGGGCACGGAGCCCAUUGGCUCAAUCCCCCCCCCCCUCUCUCACGCUGUUUCUGCCAAGCCAGGCAGAAUAGCUGAAUCGCGACUUCUAACGCAGACUCAUUACCGAGUCUUUUGAUUUCUGAGUGAAUUAACUUAAGAAAGCGCAUCGACAAAACGCUCUACCAUCCACGUGUACCGAGGGCAACUCUGGACCGGUUCCGUUCGACACCUACGUCUCCUGUCAGCCGCCGGUGUCAUCUGGAUGAACCACAACAUCCUCCACGGCCCGGAUCCGAAAGAGGGUCCACAAGAGUUCGGUGAGACAGAGCACGGUUUUUAGCGUUUGAUGCAGUUCUCUGAUAAGACCUAAGUUUAUCCAAACCAUCACUUCACUCAGACACCUGUUUCUUCCUGAAGCAAAAUCAGACUCACACACGCAUUCAUGUCACGACAUUCUCAAUCUUCAUAAAUUCACCAGAAGGUCUAUUUGAGCAAGAACAGCAUAUCAACUGUUAAAGAUUGUCCCACAAAGUUGCCAAUGUUGAUUGUUAUUUCCUGUUUGUCAAUUUUCAAAAUCAUUAGUUUAAUUUGAAGAAUUAAAACUUUUAAUUGUCAAACUGGUUUCCUCAUUGAACUGAAACACAGACACACAGAUAUUAUCGUCAGUUUAUCGAUGAAAACAACCUUUGAGUCUUCUUAACAAUAUAAAAUUUGGUUAUUGAUUUAUUAAAAAUUAAUAUUCCGAAUUAAUACGUAGCAUGGUUCCUCUUUCAUAAAAGAGCAUAAAACCACAACGCUACAUUAAUGGUGAGCCAAG